RNAcentral lists this transfer RNA (71 nucleotides) under Apaloderma vittatum (bar-tailed trogon). It matches the Rfam family "tRNA". Rfam says of the family: Transfer RNA (tRNA) molecules are approximately 80 nucleotides in length. Their secondary structure includes four short double-helical elements and three loops (D, anti-codon, and T loops). Further hydrogen bonds mediate the characteristic L-shaped molecular structure. tRNAs have two regions of fundamental functional importance: the anti-codon, which is responsible for specific mRNA codon recognition, and the 3' end, to which the tRNAs corresponding amino acid is attached (by aminoacyl-tRNA synthetases). tRNAs cope with the degeneracy of the genetic code in two manners: having more than one tRNA (with a specific anti-codon) for a particular amino acid; and 'wobble' base-pairing, i.e. permitting non-standard base-pairing at the 3rd anti-codon position. Lineage: Eukaryota; Metazoa; Chordata; Aves; Trogoniformes; Trogonidae. The record is from Rfam by way of RNAcentral.
GCCGAUUAGCUCAGUCGGUUAGAGCGUGGUGCUGAUAACACCAAGGUCGCGGGUUCGAUCCCCGGUUGGUG